GGGCUAUUAGCUCAGUUGGUUAGAGCACACCCCUGAUAAGGGUGAGGUCCCAGGUUCAAAUCCUGGAUAGCCCA
RNAcentral lists this transfer RNA (74 nucleotides) under Symphyocladiella dendroidea. RNAcentral describes it as "tRNA-Ile". It matches the Rfam family "tRNA". Rfam says of the family: Transfer RNA (tRNA) molecules are approximately 80 nucleotides in length. Lineage: Eukaryota; Rhodophyta; Florideophyceae; Ceramiales; Rhodomelaceae. The record is from RNAcentral.